ACCGCAGCAAUUGACGUUACCCGCAGAAGAAGCACCGGCUAACUCCGUGCCAGCAGCCGCGGUAAUACGGAGGGUGCAAGCGUUAAUCGGAAUUACUGGGCGUAAAGCGCACGCAGGCGGUCUGUCAGCGCCACCCUGAUCAAGAAUGGUGCGGGAGUCGAUCUUGCUGGAUACGGUAAAAGCGAUACGGGUUGGAAUGUUGGCUUUAAUUAAACCAGUAAUCACAUCGACCGACGGACGCUGCGUCGCCA
RNAcentral lists this ribosomal RNA (251 nucleotides) under Salmonella enterica subsp. enterica serovar Anatum. Its description in RNAcentral is "partial 16S ribosomal RNA". It matches the Rfam family "Bacterial small subunit ribosomal RNA", at positions 459 to 653 of the family's 1533-position model. Lineage: Bacteria; Pseudomonadati; Pseudomonadota; Gammaproteobacteria; Enterobacterales; Enterobacteriaceae. The record is from RNAcentral.